Molecule: ribosomal RNA, 228 nt
Filed under: uncultured bacterium
Lineage: Bacteria
Description: partial 16S ribosomal RNA
Rfam family: Bacterial small subunit ribosomal RNA
Source: RNAcentral
AGCGUAGGCGGGAUCGUGGGUCAGCCGUGAAAUCCACCGGCUCAACCGGUGAACUGCGUUGAAACUACGGUUCUUGAGUUCGGUAGAGGAAUGCGGAAUUCCUGGUGUAGCGGUGGAAUGCGUAGAUAUCAGGAAGAACACCGGUAGCGAAGGCGGCAUUCUGGGCCGUAUCUGACGCUGAGGCUCGAAAGCCGGGGGAGCGAACAGGAUUAGAUACCCUGGUAGUCC